Sorex araneus (European shrew) is the source of this 134-nucleotide small nucleolar RNA. Its record names the gene U8. It matches the Rfam family "U8 small nucleolar RNA". Rfam says of the family: U8 is a member of the C/D class of snoRNA which contain the C (UGAUGA) and D (CUGA) box motifs. The record is from Ensembl. Lineage: Eukaryota; Metazoa; Chordata; Mammalia; Eulipotyphla; Soricidae.
UCAUCAGUAGGAUAAUUCUUCCCUGUUCUUCUCUUCAUAAAGCAGAUAGAACACAAUGACUGGAAUUCACUUGAUUUGUUAUUAACUUCUCUGCGUGAUUAGGGUUCACAGUACCCUAAUCUCUCCUAUCUGAC